AUGUAUCUCAAGGAAAAUCAAUGGAAAAAGCUCUCAACAACAAACAUCCAACAAGUAUUUUGUACGCAGAUAUUCAUUCCAAUGGAAAGGCAUGACCGCUAUGUACUAUAUGUCCUGGACAAAUACAAACACAAAGUUCGCAUUAUUGAUCCUCGAGAAACGACUCACGAGGAAUUUGAGAAAGAAAAGAUAGACAUCGACGAAUUGACAGAAGAAGAAGCAUGUCGAGUUCUUCAGGAAAAUGAAGAUGCUAAAGAAGAAAGAGAAAGACAGUUUGACGAAUAUCAUGUUCAUAAGUUGGCGAUUGUACCUAGGUUUAAAGAAGUCUUCAACAUCAUACUAGGAGAAACACUGAAUCCCAAGGGUACAAGAUGGCAAACUCAUACCGUGCAAGAUGUUCCAGUGGUAGAAAAGGGAGAAUCAACAUUUAAUGUUUUAAAGCUUGCAUUCCUCUAUAAUGGUGAAAAGUUUGUCGAAGACCUGGAAGAUUUGACAGAUGAGGUUGAAGAUUGGAGGGCAGAGGCAAUGUACAUUCUCUUAAAUAGCGAGAUGAAUCAAGUCAAAGCUAGUGAAAUGGGUGACGAGAUUAGCAAGAUCUUAAGCAAAAAUGAAGAGUAA
Molecule: ribosomal RNA, 618 nt
Filed under: Triticum aestivum (bread wheat)
Lineage: Eukaryota; Viridiplantae; Streptophyta; Magnoliopsida; Poales; Poaceae
Description: partial small subunit ribosomal RNA
Source: RNAcentral